GUUAGCGGCGGACGGGUGAGUAACACGUGGGCAACCUACCUUAUCGACUGGGAUAACUCCGGGAAACCGGGGCUAAUACCGGAUAACAUCUAGCACCUCCUGGUGCCGGAUUAAAAGAGGGCUUCUUGCUCUCACGAUGAGAUGGGCCCGCGGCGCAUUAGCUAGUUGGAGAGGUAACGGCUCCCCAAGGCGACGAUGCGUAGCCGACCUGAGAGGGUGAUCGGCCACACUGGGACUGAGACACGGCCCAGACUCCUACGGGAGGCAGCAGUAGGGAAUCUUCCGCAAUGGACGAAAGUCUGACGGAGCAACGCCGCGUGAGUGAUGAAGGGUUUCGGCUCGUAAAGCUCUGUUAUGAGGGAAGAACACGUACCGUUCGAAUAGGGCGGUACCUUGACGGUACCUCAUCAGAAAGCCACGGCUAACUACGUGCCAGCAGCCGCGGUAAUACGUAGGUGGCAAGCGUUGUCCGGAAUUAUUGGGCGUAAAGCGCGCGCAGGCGGCCUUUUAAGUCUGAUGUGAAAUCUUGCGGCUCAACCGCAAGCGGCCAUUGGAAACUGGGAGGCUUGAGUACAGAAGAGGAGAGUGGAAUUCCACGUGUAGCGGUGAAAUGCGUAGAUAUGUGGAGGAACACCAGUGGC
This 641-nucleotide ribosomal RNA is filed under the name Bacillus sp. I15B-00832. RNAcentral's name for it is "bacterial SSU rRNA". It matches the Rfam family "Bacterial small subunit ribosomal RNA", at positions 91 to 716 of the family's 1533-position model. Lineage: Bacteria; Bacillati; Bacillota; Bacilli; Caryophanales; Bacillaceae. The record is from RNAcentral.